UCCUUUUUGGCUCAGACAGUAAAGCAUCUGCCUGCAGUGCAGGAGACCUGGGUUCAAUCCCUUGGUCAGGAA
Bos taurus (domestic cattle) is the source of this 72-nucleotide non-coding RNA. Lineage: Eukaryota; Metazoa; Chordata; Mammalia; Artiodactyla; Bovidae. The record is from Rfam.